CCUACGGGUGGCAGCAGUGAGGAAUAUUGGUCAAUGGGCUUACGCCUGAACCAGCCAAGUCGCGUGAGGGAAGACUGCCCUAUGGGUUGUAAACCUCUUUUGUCAGGGAGCAACGCCGGCUACGUGUAGCCGGACUGAGAGUACCUGCAGAAAAAGCAUCGGCUAACUCCGUGCCAGCAGCCGCGGUAAUACGGAGGAUGCGAGCUUUAUCCGGAUUUAUUGGGUUUAAAGGGUGCGUAGGCGGAAUGCCAAGUCAGCGGUAAAAUCGCGGGGCUCAACCUCGCUCCGCCGUUGAAACUGGCGGUCUUGAGUGGGCGAGAAGUAUGCGGAAUGCGUGGUGUAGCGGUGAAAUGCAUAGAUAUCGCGCAGAACUCCGAUUGCGAAGGCAGCAUACCGGCGCCAAACUGACGCUGAAGCACGAAAGCGUGGGUAUCGAACAGGAUUAGAUACCCUUGUAGUC
This 460-nucleotide ribosomal RNA is filed under the name uncultured bacterium. RNAcentral's name for it is "partial 16S ribosomal RNA". It matches the Rfam family "Bacterial small subunit ribosomal RNA", at positions 338 to 795 of the family's 1533-position model. The record is from RNAcentral.